GGAUGAGAUCGAUUUAGCCAUGCUAGUCGCACGAGUUCAGACUCGUGGCGAAUAGCUCAGUAACACGUGGCCAAACUACCCUUCGGAACACAAUACCCUCGGGAAACUGAGGCUAAUAGUGUAUACCAUACCACCACUGGAAUGAGUGGUAUGCCAAACGCUCCGGCGCCGAAGGAUGUGGCUGCGGCCGAUUAGGUAGACGGUGGGGUAACGGCCCACCGUGCCAAUAAUCGGUAUGGGUCAUGAGAGUGAGAACCCAGAGACGGAAUCUGAGACAAGAUUCCGGGCCCUACGGGGCGCAGCAGGCGCGAAACCUUUACACUGCACGACAGUGCGAUAGGGGGAUCCCAAGUGCACAGGCAUAGCGCCUGUGCUUUUCGGUACCCUAAGGCGGUACCAGAAUAAGGGCUGGGCAAGACCGGUGCCAGCCGCCGCGGUAAUACCGGCAGCCCAAGUGAUGGCCGAUCUUAUUGGGCCUAAAGCGUCCGUAGCUGGCCGCGCAAGUCCAUCGGGAAAUCCACCUGCUCAACAGGUGGGCGCCCGGUAGAAACUGCGUGGCUUGGGACCGGAAGGCGCGACGGGUACGUCCGGGGUAGGAGUGAAAUCCCGUAAUCCUGGACGGACCGCCGAUGGCGAAAGCACGUCGCGAGAACGGAUCCGACAGUGAGGGACGAAAGCCAGGGUCUCGAACCGGAUUAGA
RNAcentral lists this ribosomal RNA (700 nucleotides) under Halorubrum sp. A1FP19. Its description in RNAcentral is "bacterial SSU rRNA". It matches the Rfam family "Archaeal small subunit ribosomal RNA", at positions 31 to 733 of the family's 1478-position model. The record is from RNAcentral. Lineage: Archaea; Methanobacteriati; Methanobacteriota; Halobacteria; Halobacteriales; Haloferacaceae.